GAUGAACGCUGGCGGCGUGCCUAAUACAUGCAAGUCGAGCGAACGGACGAGAAGCUUGCUUCUCUGAUGUUAGCGGCGGACGGGUGAGUAACACGUGGAUACCUACCUAUAAGACUGGGAUAACUUCGGGAAAACGGAGCCAAUACCGGAUAAUAUUUUUGACCGCAUGGUUUCAAAGUGAAAAAAGGUCUUGCUGUUACUUAUAGAUGGAUCCGCGCUGCAUUAGCUAGUUGGUAAGGUAACGGCUUACCAAGGCAACGAUGCAUAGCCGACCUGAGAGGGUGAUCGGCCACACUGGAACUGAGACACGGUCCAGACUCCUACGGGAGGCAGCAGUAGGGAAUCUUCCGCAAUGGGCGAAAGCCUGACGGAGCAACGCCGCGUGAGUGAUGAAGGUCUUCGGAUCGUAAAACUCUGUUAUUAGGGAAGAACAUAUGUGUAAGUAACUGUGCACAUCUUGACGGUACCUAAUCAGAAAGCCACGGCUAACUACGUG
RNAcentral lists this ribosomal RNA (496 nucleotides) under uncultured bacterium. Its description in RNAcentral is "partial 16S ribosomal RNA". It matches the Rfam family "Bacterial small subunit ribosomal RNA", at positions 28 to 507 of the family's 1533-position model. The record is from RNAcentral.